GGCCAGCUUCUCACACCCAUGCUGUCUUCUGGAUUGUGGCACGUCCCUCCUAUCGGGUCUGCUGGCCACCGCUCCCACCUCCGCCGACCCAGUCUCCACUCCAGCCAGAAAGGAGCAUUGCCAGGCACACACCCAGGACAUUUCAUACCCAUGAGCAUAUCUGAAGAUAGAUUGUGUGCUGAGCCAUCCAGAAGACCACAGUGAAAUCAUAGGAGCACCACUGGGUAUUUUAAACGUCCAAGAGACAGCACAUAAUCUACUACUUUGAAGUUAUGUGGACCCAACCACUGAAAAACAAAACUAUUAGGUAUUUGGUUUUGUCUCAGGACACUGAAAACUUCACUGAGACGCUGAGAGCGCUCUGAGCUGGGAGAACUUCUAAAACUCCAGCACACAGGGUUUCAAAGGAGAACGUAUUGACCACCCAUGUGCCUGCAAAACAGCACAAGGCAGGGAGAAUGUAACUAACCACUGUUGGAAUGAGGCAAGGAGAGGAAUCAAGAUGGCGACACAGGAGACUUUACAACCUCUGUCUGAGGUUCCGGUUUCUAAUCUGCGGGCAUCUAGGGGCUAGCUACGAUCCUCAGUGGAACCCAGGGAUGCCAGGGGGCAUUUCUACCACCUUCUCCCUCUGUUCAUCCCAGCUAUAACAACCAGAUCAUCACCAUCUCUCUGGGAAGAGCUUGUACACACGCCUGGUGCCCCAGCUUCUGUGGCUGCUAUUCGGGGAUACUAUACUGUAUAAGUAUAAUUUGCUGAGAGUGUUGAACUUAAGGGUUCUCACCAAAAAAGAAAAAAAAAAAAAAAAGGAGAGGCGCAUGGGUGGCUCAGUCGGUUAAGCGUCCGACUUCGGCUCAGGUCAUGAUCUCGCGGUUUGUGAGUUCAAGCCCCGCAUCGGGCUCUAUGCUGCCAGCUCAGAGCCUGGAGCCUGCUUCGUAUUCUGUGUCUCACUCUCUCUUUCUGCCACUCCCCUGCUCGUGCUCUGUCUCUGUCUCAAAAAUAAAUAAAACAUUUUAAAAAAUUAAAAACA
Molecule: long non-coding RNA, 1030 nt
Filed under: Felis catus (domestic cat)
Lineage: Eukaryota; Metazoa; Chordata; Mammalia; Carnivora; Felidae
Description: lncRNA (ENSFCAG00000046421.2)
Source: RNAcentral